RNAcentral lists this ribosomal RNA (253 nucleotides) under uncultured bacterium. Its description in RNAcentral is "partial 16S ribosomal RNA". It matches the Rfam family "Bacterial small subunit ribosomal RNA", at positions 524 to 776 of the family's 1533-position model. The record is from RNAcentral.
UACGUAGGGUGCGAGCGUUAAUCGGAAUUACUGGGCGUAAAGCGUGCGCAGGCGGUUUUGCAAGCCGGAUGUGAAAUCCCCGGGCUCAACCUGGGAACUGCGUUUGUGACUGUAUGACUAGAGUACGGUAGAGAGGGGUGGAAUUCCUGGUGUAGCAGUGAAAUGCGUAGAUAUCAGGAGGAACAUCGAUGGCUAAGGCAGCCCCUUGGACCUGUACUGACGCUCAUGCACGAAAGCGUGGGGAGCAAACAGG